GAUAAACGCUAGCGGCAGGCUUAACACAUGCAAGUCGAGGGGCAGCAUAGAUUGUAGCAAUACAAUUGGUGGCGACCGGCGCACGGGUGCGUAACGCGUAUGCAACCUACCCGUCACAGGGGGAUAAUCCGGAGAAAUCUGGUCUAAUACCACAUAACAUAUGGAUCGGCAUCGGUUCAUGUUGAAAUUUUCGGAGGUGACGGAUGGGCAUGCGUAGCAUUAGCUUGUUGGUGAGGUAACGGCACACGAAGGCGACGAUGCUUAGGGGGACUGAGAGGUUUUCCCCCCACACUGGUACUGAGACACGGACCAGACUCCUACGGGAGGCAGCAGUGAGGAAUAUUGGUCAAUGGGCGCAAGCCUGAACCAGCCAUGCCGCGUGCAGGAUGACGGCUCUAUGAGUUGUAAACUGCUUUUGUACGAGGGUAAAGUGGGUUACGUGUAACCUUUUGAAAGUAUCGUACGAAUAAGGAUCGGCUAACUCCGUGCCAGCCGCCGCCGUAA
RNAcentral lists this ribosomal RNA (504 nucleotides) under uncultured bacterium. RNAcentral's name for it is "partial 16S ribosomal RNA". It matches the Rfam family "Bacterial small subunit ribosomal RNA", at positions 28 to 523 of the family's 1533-position model. The record is from RNAcentral.